UUCUGAUUCAUGUUAGAGUGCCGUGCUAAAUUUACAUUUUUUCUGUCUCUUUUUUCAGAGUACAUCACAGCAGAUUACACAGACAACAAGCUCCAGUAUCCUAACGAGUGUACCAAGGUUCCAUGAUGAGGUUGGGUGGCAGACAGACUCCCCACAAGUCUCAGAGGCCACACAGACAUACCUACCUCCAAAGGGGUCAUCAGUCCACACACAGUUGGCCCGGGGUACACUAAGGGACAAGCAAAGGAUAUGUCGGGGACUUCAUGGCACUGGUGUUGGAGGUGUUUGGAGAUGUUUCAGGAACCAAAACAAUUCAUGGAGGAGCUGCAGAAAAUGCCUGACUCUCAAAAAGAAGGAGGGCUGGCUCGACACGUGUCCAGGGUCAAGGGGCGGGCCGAAGCCAACAUACUGUCCAGUCGGGUCAGGAAACUCGGGGCGAAUCCUCAGGACGACACACGACAGGAUAACCACUCCAACCCCUGCCAAGUGUCUGCACAGCCUGUAUGGAGACAAUAUAGUUGGAUGUAAAAAUGUUACUUCUCAUUGUAUAUUUACACGUAUAGUUCUACACAAAUGUUUUUUGUUUAACCGAAACUGAGAAUAAAGAACUUUCAA
Labrus mixtus (cuckoo wrasse) is the source of this 615-nucleotide long non-coding RNA. RefSeq lists it as uncharacterized. The transcript is spliced from 2 exons. NCBI's taxonomy places the organism in Eukaryota, Metazoa, Chordata, Actinopteri, Labriformes, Labridae. The record is from RefSeq and is a predicted model, not a curated record.